This 216-nucleotide long non-coding RNA is filed under the name Gallus gallus (chicken). The record is from RNAcentral. Lineage: Eukaryota; Metazoa; Chordata; Aves; Galliformes; Phasianidae.
GGAAAUCCAAUGAUCCUCUCCUGGGGUUACAUUUACCAAAUUCUAGAAGUAUAGUGCUUAUAAGCAACGUGUUCCUGCUGCUGUGAGCAGCUCCCUGUGCUCUGGACUCUCGUGCUGUGAGCUGUUGUCCCCAGCUCUGGCUGCCUGGGAACGCUGAUGCCCGUGUGCAGGUCCUAACAACCCGUGAGCAAGUGAGCUGGUGCAGGGAGAGGAGGG